UGCCAGCCGCCGCGGUAAUACGGAGGGUGCAAGCGUUAAUCGGAAUUACUGGGCGUAAAGCGCGCGUAGGUUGAUUGGUCAGUCAGAUGUGAAAGCCCCGGGCUCAACCUGGGAUGGUCAUUUAGAACUGGCAGACUAGAGUUUUGGAGAGGGGGGUGGAAUUCCAGGUGUAGCGGUGAAAUGCGUAGAUAUCUGGAGGAACAUCAGUGGCGAAGGCGGCUCCCUGGCCAAAGACUGACGCUCAUGUGCGAAAGUGUGGGUAGCGAACAGGAUUAGAUA
RNAcentral lists this ribosomal RNA (279 nucleotides) under uncultured bacterium. RNAcentral describes it as "partial 16S ribosomal RNA". It matches the Rfam family "Bacterial small subunit ribosomal RNA", at positions 506 to 784 of the family's 1533-position model. The record is from RNAcentral.